Molecule: ribosomal RNA, 445 nt
Filed under: uncultured bacterium
Lineage: Bacteria
Description: bacterial SSU rRNA
Rfam family: Bacterial small subunit ribosomal RNA
Source: RNAcentral
GGUAUGGGAUGAGCUUGCGUCCGAUUAGCUAGUUGGCGGGGCAACGGCCCACCAAGGCGACGAUCGGUAGCCGGCCUGAGAGGGUGAUCGGCCACAUUGGGACUGAGAUACGGCCCAGACUCCUACGGGAGACAGCAGUAGGGAAUAUUGCACAAUGGGGGAAACCCUGAUGCAGCAACGCCACGUGUGGGAAGAAGCAUUUCGGCGUGUAAACCACUGUCGUGAGGGAAUAAGGCUGAGUUUCGGCUCAGUUGAAUGUACCUCGAGAGGAAGCACCGGCAAACUUCGUGCCAUCAGCCGCGGUAAUACGAGGGGCGCAAGCGUUGUUCGGAAUCACUGGGCGUAAAGGGAGCGCAGGCGGAAGCUCAAGCGGAUUGUACAAUACCGGGGCCCAACCCCGGACCUGCAGUCCGAACUGGGUUUCUUGGAUAGUUCAGGGGCAGGC